Molecule: transfer RNA, 86 nt
Filed under: Nitrososphaeria archaeon
Lineage: Archaea; Thermoproteati; Nitrososphaerota; Nitrososphaeria
Description: tRNA-Ser
Rfam family: tRNA
About the family: Transfer RNA (tRNA) molecules are approximately 80 nucleotides in length.
Source: RNAcentral
GCCGGGGUGCCUCAGCCAGGUAGAGGGUCGGCCUCGAGAGCCGAUGCCCCAGACGGGGCUCGUGGGUUCAAAUCCCACCCCCGGCG